RNAcentral lists this ribosomal RNA (252 nucleotides) under uncultured bacterium. Its description in RNAcentral is "partial 16S ribosomal RNA". It matches the Rfam family "Bacterial small subunit ribosomal RNA", at positions 524 to 776 of the family's 1533-position model. The record is from RNAcentral.
UACGGAGGAUGCGAGCGUUAUCCGGAUUUAUUGGGUUUAAAGGGUGCGUAGGCGGAUCGUUAAGUCAGUGGUCAAAUUGAGGGGCUCAGCCCCUUCCCGCCAUUGAAACUGGCGAUCUUGAGUGGAAGAGAAGUAUGCGGAAUGCGUGGUGUAGCGGUGAAAUGCAUAGAUAUCACGCAGAACCCCGAUUGCGAAGGCGGCAUGCCGGCUUCCUACUGACGCUGAAGCACGAAAGCGUGGGGAUCGAACAGG